GACGAACGCUGGCGGCGUGCUUAACACAUGCAAGUCGAACGGAAAGGCCCCCUUGUGGGGUACUCGAGUGGCGAACGGGUGAGUAACACGUGAGUAAACUACCCUUGACUUUGGGAUAACUUCAGGAAACUGGGGCUAAUACCGGAUAGGAGCUCCUGCUGCAUGGUGGGGGUUGGAAAGUUUCGGCGGUUGGGGAUGGGCUCGCGGCUUAUCAGCUUGUUGGUGGGGUAGUGGCUCACCAAGGCUUUGACGGGUAGCCGGCCUGAGAGGGUGACCGGCCACAUUGGGACUGAGAUACGGCCCAGACUCCUACGGGAGGCAGCAGUGGGGAAUAUUGCACAAUGGGCGGAAGCCUGAUGCAGCAACGCCGCGUGCGGGAUGACGGCCUUCGGGUUGUAAACCGCUUUCGCCUGUGACGAAGCGUGAGUGACGGUAAUGGGUAAAGAAGCACCGGCUAACUACGUG
RNAcentral lists this ribosomal RNA (465 nucleotides) under uncultured bacterium. Its description in RNAcentral is "partial 16S ribosomal RNA". It matches the Rfam family "Bacterial small subunit ribosomal RNA", at positions 28 to 507 of the family's 1533-position model. The record is from RNAcentral.